UUCGGCAGCAUCUUCCCCACUCCAUCAGCGGUAUGCGGGGGUGCAGUUGACAAACGAGGGCGGCGUCAGCGUCGUCCUUAUUUGUCACUAUUGUCCGCCCGUUUCCCACAGCUGGAGAGACAAAGGCCAAAGAACAUAUGAGCAGGCCAAGAAGAAGACGCCUUGUGGGGGAAGAGGAUGAGGAGGGGUUGCUCGUUUCUUUUCCAUCUUGAUGACCAUUGCCAUCGCGGCCAUUGUGGGGAUUCAAUCACUCGAAGCAGAUUGCGUGGCCCGGUGGUCUCCGGAGCGACACAAACAAACAAACAGGGAAACGGGGGACUGCCGCUUAUCCAAAGUGCCGCUUGGUGGGUACAACCCCAUCCUUUCGAAUGAAUUCUGAUUCAACAUACGCACAACAGUGAGAAAAUUGGCCGUCCACUAAAAGUUUGCAGGGCCAUGUAUACGCACACACGAUGGGAAAGGCCACUGGUGGGAUGGAGACAGAUUGGACCACUGGCGUGUGGGAUUGGACGCUGACAACCUCCUGUUGUUUGUUUCUUUGGAUGCUUUAAAGCAAGCAUGGGAGCUGCAGAGGAUACGAAAGUGAGGAGUGUCUUGGCAGCCCUGAUGCUGCUGUUCCUGCUGAGCUACACCAACAGCAUCGCCGUGGGCCCAGAAGCCCCCCGCUUGGCCCUGGCCUCGGGCCCAAAGUCCCCAGGGCAACACUAUCGCCUAAAGAGAGGCUGGAUCUGGAAGCAGCUGUUUGUCCCGGAGGAAGACCCCACGCCUCGCGUCAUCGGCCAGCUGAAAUCGGAUUCUGACCGCGGGGAGUUUGGCAUCCAAUACAUCCUCUCAGGGGAAGGCGCCGGCGACGCUUUUGAGAUCGACGAGUACUCUGGCGAGAUCCGUACGCUGAAGAAGCUGGAUCGCGAGGAGAAGGCUUUCUACGUGCUCCAAGCGCAAGCCAUCAACAGGCUCUCACAGGAGCCAGAGGAGCCCCAGUCUGAGUUUAUCAUCAAGGUGCAGGACAUCAACGACAAUGCGCCGAGAUUCCACAACCAGCCAUAUGUGGCCAGCGUCCCUGAAAUGUGCCCGACCGGCACCACCGUGUUCCAGGUGACGGCCACAGAUGCUGAUGACCCCACGUUUGGCAACAACGCCAAGCUCAUCUACUCCAUUUUGCAGGGGGAGCCCUACUUCUCUGUGGAGCCAAAGACAGGCAUCAUUGUGACCUCCUGGCCCGACAUGGACCGCGAGGCAAAGGAGCAGUACCUGGUUGUGGUGCAGGUGAAGGACAUGCUGGGCAUGAGCGGCGGCUACUCGGCCUCCGCCACCGUCAGCGUCAGCCUGAGCGACAUCAACGACAACGGGCCCAUCUUCCAGCACCAUUUAUACACCUUCGCCAUUCCCGAAGACGCUGUGGUGGGAACCACAGUGGGCAGGGUCAAGGCGGAUGAUGCCGACAUCGGCGGCAAUGCCAAGAUGAACUACAGCCUGCAGGUGGACCUGGAGGAGAACGCCACCUUCACCGUCCACACCGAUCCUCUGACACAAGAGGGAAUCAUCCUGCUGGCCAAGCCGCUGGACUACGAGACCAAGCGUCGCUACGUGAUGGUGGCGGAGGCCAUCAAUGAGGAAGUGGACCCUCGCAUCCUGUCCCCGGACGAGUUCUCGGACCGGACCACGCUGAAGAUCAUGGUGGAUGACGUGGAUGAGCCGCCUGUCUUCCUUUCGCCAGUCUACGAGUGGAAGGUGGCGGAGAACGCAGGGGUGGGGAUCGCGGUCGGCGCGGUCAGCGCCCGGGACACCGACGCCGCCAACGAUGCCGUCAGAUAUUCCUUGGAUAAACACAGCAGUGCAGGAAAGGCUUUUUCGAUCGACCCACACGACGGAACCAUCACCAUCGCCAAGCCUCUAGACCGAGAGACGUCCGCCUGGCACAACCUGACCGUCGUCGCCAAAGAAACCACAUUGAAGCGUUUAUCCUCCUCGGUCCUGGCGUCCAUCAAGGUGCUGGACAUAAACGACAACGCGCCGCAGCUGGCUGGCCACUACCAGCCGUAUAUCUGCGAGGGGACGCAGGCAGGGGAGCUCAUUCAGCUGCUCAGCGCCACUGAUCCCGACCAGCCUCCUGAGGGUCACCACUUCUACUUCUCCAUGGUCCCCGACAAGCACAUCAAUCCGAACUUCACCAUUCGCGAUCACCAAGACAACACGGCGGGCAUCGUGGCACGCAGGAGCACUUUCACCCGCAGGGACCGGGGACGCUACCUCCUGCCCGUGGUGGUGACCGACAGCGGCUCGCCCGCCUUGUCCAGUACCGCUACGCUGACCAUCAGCGUGUGCAGCUGCCAGCCCGCCGGCCACUGUCCCUCCGGGGGAGUGGAGGCCCUGGCUCUAUCCAUGGGGGUCAGCCUGCAGACCUUCGUCACGCUUCUCGUGUGCCUGCUCUUGGCCGCAGUAUCGUCAGUCCUCACGCUGCUACUUUGGCGGCACAGACGCAAGCAAAAGGCGGCGCAGAAGAAGGCCAGUGAGCUGGAACUGCCCGACACCGUGUCGCAGAAGGUGUUGUACUACGCCCAGAGCGGUGGGCCGGGCCUGGACGCGGGCCUCCCGGUGGUCCCGCUGCGCCCGCACUCCAGGAGGCGCCAGAAGCGGCUGGCUCGGGACGAGGUCCGGGCCAGCAUCCGCAUGUCCCUGCGAGAGUCUCACCUCGUGGGGCCCGAGGACGACGUCUUCAGGCAGUUCAUCCUGGACCGGCUGGACGAGGCCGACGGGGACCCGUGCGCCCCGCCUUUUGACUGCCUGACGGCAUACGCGUACGAAGGCUCGGGAUCCUCGGCCGGCUCGCUCAGCUCGCUCGAGUCGUGCGGUUUGGAGAGUCCGGCCUCGACUCCCAGAUCUCCCUGGGCCAGACUGUCGCCCUGGUACGGCGGAGUGGAGGAUGACACAGUCUUUUGAGGAGCCCAAUCCCAGAUCGCGAAAGGAUGGCGGGGAGGACAGUUCGCGCCAUCACGCACCAUGUGGAAACACUCCUGCUUGCUGUACCGCAGCCUCAAUGAGAAAUCUUGAAACGUCGUCGACCCAUUUGAAGGCGUGUGCAUCCAAAGGCGUGUCGUCCUCCGAUGUUCAAAGGCUUCGGGAAGACGCCUCCCCCUCCGCUCGCGCCGUCACCCGCGCCGGCGCCGUCCGCGUUGCCGUACAGGUCGGCCAGCUUCUUGAAGCGGGGCCCCCAGUUGCUGAGGGAACUUCUUGAAGCUUUCAUGCCUGCCAGGCAGCCUGGAAACCAGCCAAUGUUCAGUCAACGAGCCGACGAGGAAUGAGCCCAGUUUGAAGAUAUCAGGCGCCACCGGUCCAGUUGGGCAGUCCAUAAAAUUGGAUCCACGUCAACGGCCUGCUGCUCCAGCGGGUGAUCAUAGCGCAACCUCCAGAGGACGAAAAAGGGAAAAUCCCACUCCGACAAAAUGUGCAACUGAAGAAGCCUUUCGGAUGAAAGGUCAAACGUCUUCGACAAGCAAGAAAAGUCCAGAUGCUCCGCAGCAACCUUUGCGAAAAUGCAGUGACUGUUUCUCACGGAGCACAAAAGACACUUGAGCAUUGAUUUGACUGCGUCAAUUCCACUCAAUGUUAAAAUGCGAAAAUAAGGGGGGGGGGGUAAUUUUAGUAGCCGCUUCAAAUCUGUUUGCUGUUUUUCCUAACGUGAAUAACAAGGAAAGCGCGUCUUGUUCCUUUUUCAUGAUUUCCUUCCCGUAUCCUCAAAUAACCUCAAAAGGUCUUUUGUAAACUUGUGCCAAACUGUCACUGCGGUCCUCAAAAAAUGACUUGCUCUUCUCCUUCUUCUACCUUUCACAAACAAUUAGUCUGUUUCGCCGGCAAAACGCUGUCCGCCGUCAAGCCCCAAAAGAUCACAAAUGGUUGCCGUGUGAAGACGGAAGAUAGACAGCGCUCCAACGAGACGACAGACCGCGGUGGACGUCUGAGCUUAGACGAGAACGAUUUUAAGUGCUACAUCACGUCCUAAUUGGCCCUCGUGGGGAUUGAGCACCUACGCGGCUAAAUGAAGGCGCCGGAUAGUUGUCAGGAUGCUUCAUU
RNA transcript from Hippocampus comes (tiger tail seahorse), 4071 nucleotides. It is a transcript of the gene named cadherin 19, type 2, with no coding region annotated. The transcript has 19 exons. Lineage: Eukaryota; Metazoa; Chordata; Actinopteri; Syngnathiformes; Syngnathidae. The record is from RefSeq and is a predicted model, not a curated record.